GGGGAUUUAGCUCAGCGGUAGAGCGCUUGCCUAGUGAGCGCGAGGCCCUGGGUUCGGUCCCCAGCUCCG
Non-coding RNA from Rattus norvegicus (Norway rat), 69 nucleotides. The record is from Rfam. Lineage: Eukaryota; Metazoa; Chordata; Mammalia; Rodentia; Muridae.